AGGUCACUGCUAUCGGUGUUCGAUUAAGCCAUGCGAGUCGUGAGGGGUAAAGCCCUCGGCGGAGUGCUCAGUAACACGUGGACAACCUACCCAAGAGUCAGGGAUAACCCCGAGAAACUGGGGAUAAUACCUGAUAGGCCAUGACAUCUGGAAUCGAGUUGUGGUUUAAACGUAAGGCUCUUGGAUGGGUCUGCGGCGGAUUAGGUUGUUGCCGGUGUAACGUACCAGCAAGCCUGUAAUCCGUACGGGUUGUGGGAGCAAGAGCCCGGAGAUGGAUUCUGAGACACGAAUCCCGGCCCUACGGGGCGCAGCAGGCGCGAAAACUCUACAAUGCAGGCAACUGCGAUAGGGGAACAUCGAGUGGCAUCCACCAUGGAUGUCUGUCCAAUCGUCUAAAAAACGAUUGUCAGCAAGGGCCGGGCAAGACCGGUGCCAGCCGCCGCGGUAAUACCGGCGGCUCGAGUGGUGGCCGAUAUUAUUGAGUCUAAAGGGUCCGUAGCCGGCUUUGCAAGUCCUAUGGGAAAUCCAGCGGCUUAACCGUUGGGCUUUCAUGGGAUACUACAUUGCUUGGGACUGGGAGAGGUAGGAGGUACUCAGGGGGUAGGGGUGAAAUCCUGUAAUCCUUUGGGGACCACCGGUGGCGAAGGCGUCCUACCAGAACAGGUCCGACGGUGAGGGACGAAAGCUAGGGGCACGAACCGGAUUAGAUACCCGGGUAGUCCUAGCCGUAAACGAUGCUCGCUAGGUGUCACGGCAGUCGUGAAUUGUCGUGGUGCCGUAGGGAAGCCGUGAAGCGAGCCACUUGGGAAGUACGACCGCAAGGUUGAAACUUAA
RNAcentral lists this ribosomal RNA (834 nucleotides) under uncultured soil archaeon. RNAcentral's name for it is "bacterial SSU rRNA". It matches the Rfam family "Archaeal small subunit ribosomal RNA", at positions 21 to 859 of the family's 1478-position model. The record is from RNAcentral.